Molecule: long non-coding RNA, 755 nt
Organism: Herpailurus yagouaroundi (jaguarundi)
Lineage: Eukaryota; Metazoa; Chordata; Mammalia; Carnivora; Felidae
Exons: 3
Source: RefSeq, a predicted model, not a curated record
GGAAGCAAGUGCCUUAUUAGCCACUAUGCCUCAGAUCCCUGGGUGGACUAGGUAUCCUAAUAACAGCACCUACUUCCUAGGAUUAGAGAGAACAUCUAUAAAGUGCUUGGGAUGUCACAUAGUCAGGGCUCAGUCAGUGUCAACUGUUAUUAUUCAGCAUGGCCGUGUUGGGUCCUCUUUGACAAGCCUGACACUCCUCAUUUCCCAACAACUCGGCUACCUUAAACAGACCCCAAGUUCCCGCAGGGCUGAGAAGCAGCUACUCUUAGAUUUUCCUGGUCACCCAACUGGAGAGGUUUCCAGACUCUCAGGAGCUUCUUGCCUCUCUAGCCUCAUCAGAACACCAAAUUCUCAGCAUUGCAAGGUCCUGUAACAUUUUACACUUAAGUUGAUGGGCAAUCCUCCCAAAGCUGACACCCAUAUCCUGUGGGUAACAGAUGAUGAAAGGUGAGCUCAGCCUGUCUCUUGGCUCAAGUGGAAGACCCUGAGGGCAAAGCAACCCCUGAUGGGAACAGAAACCACCCUCUCAAGUAACUAGACUGCCCUGAGCCACAAGUCACAGCCAGUGAUUGACUCUGAGACAAUGAUUGAUUUGACCUUCACUGCCCACCUGCAAGUAUCCACCCACCUUUGCCUCAGGUUUUCCUUAUAUAAACCUGGAAUUAUUUUUGGCACUUUGGAGAUAGUCUUUGAAACUCUAAUCCACUGUCUUCCCGGUGUUGGCCAGAUGGUAAUAAAUCCUUGUUUUACCUUCA